UGCUCUUGAAGCACCUGCACCAGAAUC
RNAcentral lists this non-coding RNA (27 nucleotides) under Rattus norvegicus (Norway rat). Lineage: Eukaryota; Metazoa; Chordata; Mammalia; Rodentia; Muridae. The record is from RNAcentral.